This 496-nucleotide ribosomal RNA is filed under the name uncultured bacterium. Its description in RNAcentral is "partial 16S ribosomal RNA". It matches the Rfam family "Bacterial small subunit ribosomal RNA", at positions 28 to 507 of the family's 1533-position model. The record is from RNAcentral.
GAUGAACGCUGGCGGCGUGCCUAAUACAUGCAAGUCGAGCGAACGGACGAGAAGCUUGCUUCUCUGAUGUUAGCGGCGGACGGGUGAGUAACACGUGGAUAACCUACCUAUAAGACUGGGAUAACUUCGGGAAACCGUAGCUAAUACCGGAUAAUAUUUGAACCGCAUGGUUCAAAAGUGAAAGACGGUCUUGCUGUCACUUAUAGAUGGAUCCGCGCUGCAUUAGCUAGUUGGUAAGGUAACGGCUUACCAAGGCAACGAUGCAUAGCCGACCUGAGAGGGUGAUCGGCCACACUGGAACUGAGACACGGUCCAGACUCCUACGGGAGGCAGCAGUAGGGAAUCUUCCGCAAUGGGCGAAAGCCUGACGGAGCAACGCCGCGUGAGUGAUGAAGGUCUUCGGAUCGUAAAACUCUGUUAUUAGGGAAGAACAUAUGUGUAAGUAACUGUGCACAUCUUGACGGUACCUAAUCAGAAAGCCACGGCUAACUACGUG